GUCUGAUGUGCAAAUUUUCGUUUCAUUGCUGUUGGAUCAGUAUGUAUCUUUCGUAAGCCAGUAAUCUAUGGAUCGAAACACAGAUAGAAAUACGAUCAAUCGUAUCAACAUUUAUCCAAAAUUUAAAUUUCCAUCUUUGGUUAACCAUUUAUCUUGUAACAUCGAGUCAAGUCUUGAAUAUCUCUACCUUGAAUUAUGUCAAGGUUUGAAUAUUUUAAAAAAGAUACGCUGUUAAAGAUUGCAAUAAUUAAUUGUUUACUUGAGUAUUUAUUAAAAAGAAGGUAAGGCAAGGUGUUGAAGGUGCUUCGAAAUUUCGAAAAUCGAAAUUUCUAUUUCUCGUUAAAGGGGGUAAGUUAAAAAGAAUAGCCAUGAAAAAUUAACGAAGCAAAAAUUAGUCAAUGCCCUAGAUAGUUGGAUCAAGCUUGUCGAUGGCUAUAUCCGAUAGGUCAGAGGAUUCUCUUCCCGAGAGAUCCGGAAAUGGAAACGAUGCCAUAUUUUCAUGCGAUAUUUACGUUUUUGUGCUGCACCACCUACCGAAGGUAUUUUCAGGGACUGUUUGAUUUGUUUUACACUGGAAUGAUUGAAUAUGUGCAGUGAUAAUUGCUACAAUGAGCAACCUGUAUAUGAGAAACUGUAAAACUGCCCCUCAAUUUCAUGAGCUUGUUACGAAUGAAUCGAUGAAUGUUACGUGUUCACCGUCGCAAUUUUAGGAUAAAACAUCGCUCUAUAAACAUGGUAGAUAACGAUGAACGUGCCAGGUGCAUCUCGAAGCGUCAAGGAUCAAAGGUCAAAUGUUCUACGUACAUACACCGAAGAUAUACGAUACUAGGAAGUAGGGCCAUUUCAAUUUCAAUCUGUCUUGUUGACGGUAUACUUUUUGUUAAAAUAUAAAUUGACUGGAGAGUCAAUUACCACUUUCUCCUGAGAAUUUUUCUUCUAUCGUUUUAUCACACGAGGGAACCAUCUAACGAUCUACACGAUGACUUACAGUCAAGUUAAAACCGGAAUUUGGUCGACAUGAAAGAUCGUAUCGAAAAGUUUUUUGUUAAAAAUCCUUCCGGAGGAAAAGGUUCUGGAGGAAUGGAAUAUUCAAGUUGCGUGAAGGAUGGAGAAUGGUUGCGGAACAAAGUGGUCCAUAUAUAAUUCAGUAAAUGUAUAUCGAAUCGAAAUGUAAAUCGGAAAGAACUUUCCGGUCGACCCAAUACUAUUUCCAAUAUAUGUAUCAGGAAUUUUCUGAAUUUUCCACUCGUCCAUUUCUAUACUUAUGGUUAAGAUUGAAAAUAUUCUGUUCGAUAGCUUAAUAUCAGGAUCAAGCAUCCUUUAUUUUACACGUGCAAAUUUUAUGAAUCUAAAUAAAGUAGUUGUAUUUUUAUCAUAAAUUAUUAAUUCUCCAAUGAAAUGAAAUCACUAAAAAUUCAACUCUAUUUUAUAUUUAUUAUAUUUAUAUUUAUUAUUUAUUUUUAUUAUCAAUGUUACUCGUAUGUUAUUAUCAUCUAUAUGUACGUACUUACAUACAGAAAUAUUUGAUAUCUUUUCGAAAAAUUUAUUGCAUUUUCUUAUACCUCGAUCAAAAAUCAACUAUCGUUUAUGUGUUGCAUGCAAUCGCUAU
Long non-coding RNA from Bombus pyrosoma, 1609 nucleotides. RefSeq lists it as uncharacterized. The transcript has 4 exons. The record is from RefSeq and is a predicted model, not a curated record. Lineage: Eukaryota; Metazoa; Arthropoda; Insecta; Hymenoptera; Apidae.